Molecule: ribosomal RNA, 1008 nt
Filed under: Metridia okhotensis
Lineage: Eukaryota; Metazoa; Arthropoda; Copepoda; Calanoida; Metridinidae
Description: SSU rRNA
Rfam family: Eukaryotic small subunit ribosomal RNA
Source: RNAcentral
UAAUCGAGUGUCUAGGGAUGCUGACAGGUUUACUUUGAAAAAAUUAGAGUGCUCAAAGCAGGCUAUUACGCUUGAAUAUUAGUGCAUGGAAUAAUAGAAUAGGAAGUUGUUUCUAUUUUGUUGGUUUUCGGAAAUCGACUUAAUGAUUAAUAGGGACAGUCGGGGGCAUUUGUAUUCAAACGACAGAGGUGAAAUUCUUGGACCGUUUGAAGACAAACUACUGCGAAGGCAUUUGCCAAGAAUGUUUUCAUUAAUCAAGAACGAAAGUUAGAGGUUCGAAGGCGAUUAGAUACCGCCCUAGUUCUAACCAUAAACGAUGCCAGCUAGCGAUCUGAGGACGUUUUUUUUGUAGACUCCUCAGGAAGCUUCCGGGAAACCAAAGCGUGUGGGUUCCGGGGGAAGUAUGGUUGCAAAGCUGAAACUUAAAGGAAUUGACGGAAGGGCACCACCAGGAGUGGAGCCUGCGGCUUAAUUUGACUCAACACGGGAAAUCUCACCAGGCCCGGACACUGGAAGGAUUGACAGAUUGAGAGCUCUUUCUCGAUUCGGUGGGUGGUGGUGCAUGGCCGUUCUUAGUUGGUGGAGUGAUUUGUCUGGUUAAUUCCGAUAACGAACGAGACUCUGUCCUGCUAAAUAGUGUCAGCCUCUCUUUUGGGCUGACAAUUCUUCUUAGAGGGACUGGCGGCUCCUAGCCGCACGAGAUAGAGCAAUAACAGGUCUGUGAUGCCCUUAGAUGUUCUGGGCAGCACGCGCGCUACACUGAAUAGAUCAGCGUGUUCUCCCUUUCUGAGAAGAACGGGUAAACCGCUGAACCCUAUUCGUGGUAGGGAUCGGGGCUUGCAAUUAUUCCCCGUGAACCAGGAAUUCCCAGUAGGCGCGAGUCAUAAGCUCGCGUCGAUUACGUCCCUGCCCUUUGUACACACCGCCCGUCGCUACUACCGAUUGAACGUUUUAGUGAGGUCCACGGACUGUUUGCAGAGCGGAUUAUUCUGCCUUGCUGGCGGGAAG